UGCAGCCUAUAAAGCUGCUAAGGCUGGCGCUGGGCUUGGUGGUGUCCCAGGAGUUGGUGGCUUAGGAGUGUCUGCAGGUGCGGUGGUUCCUCAGCCUGGAGCCGGAGUGAAGCCUGGGAAAGUGCCGGGUGUGGGGCUGCCAGGUGUAUACCCAGGUGGCGUGCUCCCAGGAGCUCGGUUCCCCGGUGUGGGGGUGCUCCCUGGAGUUCCCACUGGAGCAGGAGUUAAGCCCAAGGCUCCAGGUAUGCAGCUGUCUGGACAGAGGGCUGAUGGCAGGGACUCUCCAACCACCUUCUGGCCCCGGGUGUGAAAUGGGGUGGGAUCCUGGACUGGCU
RNAcentral lists this long non-coding RNA (335 nucleotides) under Pan troglodytes (chimpanzee). Its description in RNAcentral is "long non-coding RNA NONPTRT016243". Lineage: Eukaryota; Metazoa; Chordata; Mammalia; Primates; Hominidae. The record is from RNAcentral.